Molecule: long non-coding RNA, 176 nt
Organism: Prionailurus viverrinus (fishing cat)
Lineage: Eukaryota; Metazoa; Chordata; Mammalia; Carnivora; Felidae
Exons: 3
Source: RefSeq, a predicted model, not a curated record
AGUGUUAUAAAAGAGUUUUUGGCAUCUUGAAGCUUCUGCCAGAUUUAUUUUGGUAUCCUAUGGCCAGAGACAGUAGAACAUCACAGAGCACGAUGCAGCUUCUGGUCUUGCGAUUUCUGAUGACCCAGCUGCUUCAAGUCCAGGGGCUGCAGAGGCUGGACCACAGAUGGCGAUGU